This is a long non-coding RNA of Dipodomys ordii (Ord's kangaroo rat), 570 nucleotides long. RefSeq lists it as uncharacterized. The transcript has 5 exons. Lineage: Eukaryota; Metazoa; Chordata; Mammalia; Rodentia; Heteromyidae. The record is from RefSeq and is a predicted model, not a curated record.
GUCAGGACGCGCUGCGCGUGCUAAGCUUCUAGCUACGGCGGGCCUCGCGGUGGAGGUUGGGGUGGGCUCGUUGUCGCGCAUGGCAGUCAUCCGCCUCCAUCGGGGACUCCAGUCGAUGCCGGCCGGUGCUCUGAACAUAUCGACGAUUUCACGAAACAGGGACGGCUGACGCACAGCAGAUUAUCCAGAACAUGGACUGUCCAGGAAUUGUCGAUAAACACCCUCGCCCUGUCAUCAGGAAAUCAGAAGUGGAGAGUUACUGCCAUCUGACAGUCUCCCUAACAGCUUGGGCUGGUCUCCAUGAAACUGGCAGGCUGCCUUGUUAGCUGCAAGGAGUAACAUCUCACACCUCACAGCCCCCUUCUCCCGGGGCCUCUACUGUAUGUCAUUGCACCAGCACACACAAAGCCGUCAUCCCUUCCUCAGUGUUUCAGCAGCAAUCCCAGGUUGCAAGAGCUAGAAGAGCCCUGAGGUGGGUGGAGCAGCCCACAAAUCAUCGCAACUGUGUAGUGUCUGGUGGGCCACUCUAUGGAGUCUGGUCUGUAUAGGGCAUGCCUUGGUAUUUGUCAU